UCGACCAUCAGCCGUGAUGAAAAGAGUGGGACGGAUGAUUUUAGCAGGACCACAGGUAUAGCCACCUCCUGGAGCGAGCAAAGUGAAAUUCUUGGGAAGUUGGACGGUUCUGUUUGUAGUCCCCGCAGAGCCAACAGCUAUCUGAAAUGCAGAGAGAGCAGCAGAAGGGUCCUUUCCCAUUGAUGCCAAAACACCACCCUUGCAGCAGUUAGCAAUUUGCUGGUUAUAAGGGGUAUUUGGCAGCAGAUCAACAAUUUCAGGUUUUUUCUCACAGCUAUGAGGAAUGUUGCCUUUAAACAUCGAACAAUCUCCUUGAUUAGUAGCUUGGGCUCCCAUCAUGGCCCAAAUCACCUCAUACUUUGCCCAUGUCCAUCCUAAAGUCCAUCCAGGUCUCAUUAUUGGACGAUACAUUUGGAAAUU
RNAcentral lists this long non-coding RNA (420 nucleotides) under Capsicum annuum. RNAcentral's name for it is "long non-coding RNA (CANN_LNC015453)". Lineage: Eukaryota; Viridiplantae; Streptophyta; Magnoliopsida; Solanales; Solanaceae. The record is from RNAcentral.